RNAcentral lists this ribosomal RNA (383 nucleotides) under uncultured eukaryote. Its description in RNAcentral is "partial 18S ribosomal RNA". It matches the Rfam family "Eukaryotic small subunit ribosomal RNA", at positions 592 to 976 of the family's 1831-position model. The record is from RNAcentral.
CAAUAGCGUAUAUUAAAGUUGUUGCAGUUAAAAAGCUCGUAGUUGGAUUUCUGGUGGGAGCGAUCGGUCUGGCGCUUAGCGCGAGUACUUGCAUCGUCUCCGGCCAUCCUUGGGGAGAGUCUGUCUGGCAUUAGGUUGUCGGGCAGAGGAUCCUCAUCGUUUACUGUGAAAAAAUUAGAGUGUUCAAAGCAGGCUUAUGCCGUUGAAUAUAUUAGCAUGGGAUAAUAAGAUAGGACUUUGGUACUAUUUUGUUGGUUUGCGCACCAAAGUAAUGAUUAAUAGGGACAGUUGGGGGUAUUCGUAUUCCGUUGUCAGAGGUGAAAUUCUUGGAUUUACGGAAGACGAACUACUGCGAAAGCAUUUACCAAGGAUGUUUUCAUUAA